RNAcentral lists this ribosomal RNA (779 nucleotides) under uncultured Prevotella sp. RNAcentral's name for it is "bacterial SSU rRNA". It matches the Rfam family "Bacterial small subunit ribosomal RNA", at positions 74 to 856 of the family's 1533-position model. The record is from RNAcentral. Lineage: Bacteria; Pseudomonadati; Bacteroidota; Bacteroidia; Bacteroidales; Prevotellaceae.
UUGCACUUUUUGGACGUCGACCGGCGCACGGGUGAGUAACGCGUAUCCAACCUUCCCAUGACUAAGGGAUAACCUGCCGAAAGGCAGACUAAUACCUUAUGGUCUUCACUGACGGCAUCAGAUGUGAAGUAAAGAUUUAUCGGUUAUGGAUGGGGAUGCGUCUGAUUAGCUUGUUGGCGGGGUAACGGCCCACCAAGGCAACGAUCAGUAGGGGUUCUGAGAGGAAGGUCCCCCACAUUGGAACUGAGACACGGUCCAAACUCCUACGGGAGGCAGCAGUGAGGAAUAUUGGUCAAUGGGCGAGAGCCUGAACCAGCCAAGUAGCGUGCAGGAAGACGGCCCUAUGGGUUGUAAACUGCUUUUGUAUGGGGAUAAAGUCAAUCACGUGUGAUUGUUUGCAGGUACCAUACGAAUAAGGACCGGCUAAUUCCGUGCCAGCAGCCGCGGUAAUACGGAAGGUCCGGGCGUUAUCCGGAUUUAUUGGGUUUAAAGGGAGCGUAGGCUGGAGAUUAAGUGUGUUGUGAAAUGUAGACGCUCAACGUCUGACUUGCAGCGCAUACUGGUUUCCUUGAGUACGCACAACGUUGGCGGAAUUCGUCGUGUAGCGGUGAAAUGCUUAGAUAUGACGAAGAACUCCGAUUGCGAAGGCAGCUGACGGGAGCGCAACUGACGCUGAAGCUCGAAGGUGCGGGUAUCGAACAGGAUUAGAUACCCUGGUAGUCCGCACAGUAAACGAUGGAUGCCCGCUGUUGGUACCUGGUAUCAGCGGCUAAGCGAAA